RNAcentral lists this long non-coding RNA (588 nucleotides) under Capsicum annuum. Its description in RNAcentral is "long non-coding RNA (CANN_LNC015770)". The record is from RNAcentral. Lineage: Eukaryota; Viridiplantae; Streptophyta; Magnoliopsida; Solanales; Solanaceae.
ACAAGACCAAAACAACAACAACAACUCUAACUUGAAAUCAAGGUGAAUCUCAUGUCCAUAGAAUUCAAAAUAGAUAAAGGAAAAGAAAACUAAAAUAAAAUAAAAGGGGGCGGGUUCACACCUUUUUCAGGGCAGUGAACUAAGGCUUUCUCGUUGGAGAUUCGAAAUUGAACUCAGACUAUAAACUCAGAAAGGGAAUAAGAAAAUAAGGAGCAAUACCAAUUUACUGAUGCUUUUGCUAAUUUUAUAGAUGCUAAUUAUUGGUUUUUCUUACUGAUUUUUUUCCUCAUUACAAAUGGGAGCCCAAAGGCUCCUUUUAUAGCCAAAUUUGAGGGCGCGGCGCUGCAACGGUUACCAAUAAGGCUUCAAGAGUUCAAAUUUUGAAUUCUUGGAAAGCCCCAAAUCUCAGAGAGAAAUAGAGGGGCCAAAUUAGAAGGAGAGAAAGGUUGAUUCUUGAUUGUUUACCUUUUUCAGGUUAAUGUGAAGAGAGGAAAAGGCUAUUUCAAUGUGGAAGACUUGGACCAUCGGUUUUGAGGUACAACAACCUCAAAUCCGAUGGUUCUUCAAUUCUUCCACCUUUUCUAGAAG